GACGAACGCUGGCGGCGUGCUUAACACAUGCAAGUCGAACGGAAAGGCCCUGCUUUUGUGGGGUGCUCGAGUGGCGAACGGGUGAGUAACACGUGAGUAACCUGCCCUUGACUUUGGGAUAACUUCAGGAAACUGGGGCUAAUACCGGAUAGGAGCUCCUGCUGCAUGGUGGGGGUUGGAAAGUUUCGGCGGUUGGGGAUGGACUCGCGGUUUAUCAGCUUGUUGGUGGGGUAGUGGCUUACCAAGGCUUUGACGGGUAGCCGGCCUGAGAGGGUGACCGGCCACAAUGGGACUGAGAUACGACCCGGACUCCUACGGGGGGCAGCAGUGGGGAAUAUUGCACAAUGGGCGGAAGCCUGAUGCAGCAACGCCGCGUGCGGGAUGACGGCCUUCGGGUUGUAAACCGCUUUCGCCUGUGACGAAGCGUGAGUGACGGUAAUGGGUAAAGAAGCACCGGCUAACUACGUG
Molecule: ribosomal RNA, 468 nt
Filed under: uncultured bacterium
Lineage: Bacteria
Description: partial 16S ribosomal RNA
Rfam family: Bacterial small subunit ribosomal RNA
Source: RNAcentral